Molecule: ribosomal RNA, 305 nt
Filed under: uncultured bacterium
Lineage: Bacteria
Description: bacterial SSU rRNA
Rfam family: Bacterial small subunit ribosomal RNA
Source: RNAcentral
CCUACGGGGGGCAGCAGUGGGGAAUAUUGGACAAUGGGGGAAACCCUGAUCCAGCGACGCCGCGUGAGUGAAGAAGUAUUUCGGUACGUAAAGCUCUAUCAGCAGGAAAGAAAAUGACGGUACCUGACUAAGAAGCCCCGGCUAACUACGUGCCAGCAGCCGCGGUAAUACGUAGGGGGCAAGCGUUAUCCGGAAUUACUGGGUGUAAAGGGAGCGUAGACGGUUAAGUAAGUCUGGAGUGAAAGGCCGGGGCCCAACCCCGGGACUGCCCUGGAAACUAUUUAACUUGAGUGCAGGAGAGGUAA